AGUGAACGCUGGCGGUAGGCCUAACACAUGCAAGUCGAACGGCAGCACAGGAGAGCUUGCUCUCUGGGUGGCGAGUGGCGGACGGGUGAGGAAUACAUCGGAAUCUACUCUGUCGUGGGGGAUAACGUAGGGAAACUUACGCUAAUACCGCAUACGACCUACGGGUGAAAGCAGGGGAUCUUCGGACCUUGCGCGAUUGAAUGAGCCGAUGUCGGAUUAGCUAGUUGGCGGGGUAAAGGCCCACCAAGGCGACGAUCCGUAGCUGGUCUGAGAGGAUGAUCAGCCACACUGGAACUGAGACACGGUCCAGACUCCUACGGGAGGCAGCAGUGGGGAAUAUUGGACAAUGGGCGCAAGCCUGAUCCAGCCAUACCGCGUGGGUGAAGAAGGCCUUCGGGUUGUAAAGCCCUUUUGUUGGGAAAGAAAUCCAGCUGGCUAAUACCCGGUUGGGAUGACGGUACCCAAAGAAUAAGCACCGGCUAACUUCGUGCCAGCAGCCGCGGUAAUACGAAGGGUGCAAGCGUUACUCGGAAUUACUGGGCGUAAAGCGUGCGUAGGUGGUCGUUUAAGUCCGUUGUGAAAGCCCUGGGCUCAACCUGGGAACUGCAGUGGAUACUGGGCGACUAGAGUGUGGUAGAGGGUAGCGGAAUUCCUGGUGUAGCAGUGAAAUGCGUAGAGAUCAGGAGGAACAUCCAUGGCGAAGGCAGCUA
This 710-nucleotide ribosomal RNA is filed under the name uncultured Pseudomonadota bacterium. RNAcentral's name for it is "bacterial SSU rRNA". It matches the Rfam family "Bacterial small subunit ribosomal RNA", at positions 28 to 727 of the family's 1533-position model. Lineage: Bacteria; Pseudomonadati; Pseudomonadota. The record is from RNAcentral.